GAUGAACGCUGGCGGCGUGCCUAACACAUGCAAGUCGAGCGAACGGACGAUAAGCUUGCUUCCUUGCUGUUAGCGGCGGACGGGUGAGUAACGCGUGGAUCACCUUCCUCUUUUUCUGGGAUAACUUCGGGAAACAGCAGCCACUACUGCAUAAUAUUUUGAACCGCAUGGUUCAAAAGUUCAUCACGGUUUUGCUGUCACUUUUAGAUGGUUCCGCGCUGGAUUAGCUAGUUGGUAAGGUAACGGCCUACCAAGGCGACGAUGCGUAGCUGAUCUGAGAGGAUGAUCGGCCACACUGGAACUGAGACACGGUCCAGACUCCUACGGGAGGCAGCAGUGGGGAAUCUUGGACAAUGGGCGCAAGCCUGAUGCAGCCACACCGCGUGAGUGAAGAAGGUCUUCGGAUCGUAAAGCUCUGUUAUUAGGGAAGAAAAGCUGUGGAUGUAUCUGUGGACAUCUUGACGGUACCUAAACAAAAAGCACCGGCUAACUUCGUG
This 497-nucleotide ribosomal RNA is filed under the name uncultured bacterium. Its description in RNAcentral is "partial 16S ribosomal RNA". It matches the Rfam family "Bacterial small subunit ribosomal RNA", at positions 28 to 507 of the family's 1533-position model. The record is from RNAcentral.